RNAcentral lists this ribosomal RNA (451 nucleotides) under uncultured bacterium. Its description in RNAcentral is "bacterial SSU rRNA". It matches the Rfam family "Bacterial small subunit ribosomal RNA", at positions 774 to 1217 of the family's 1533-position model. The record is from RNAcentral.
ACGUAAUAGAUACCCUGGUAGUCCACGCCCUAAACGAUGUCUACUAGUUGUUGGUGGAGUAAAAUCCAUGAGUAAACGCAGCUAAACGCGUGAAGUAGACCGCCUGGGGAGUACGGUCGCAAGAUUAAAAACUCAAAGGAAUUGACGGGGGCCCGCACAAGCGGUGGAUUAUGUGGAUUAAAUUCGAUGCAACGCGAAAAACCUUACCUGGCCUUGACAUGCCACUAACGAAGCAGAGAUGCAUUAGGUGCCCGUAAGGGAAAGUGGACACAGGUGCUGCAUGGCUGUCGUCAGCUCGUGUCGUGAGAUGUUGGGUUAAGUCCCGCAACGAGCGCAACCCUUGCCAUUAAUUGCCAUCAUUUAGUUGGGCACUUUAAUGGGACUGCCGGUGACAAACCGGAGGAAGGUGGGGAUGACGUCAAGUCCUCAUGGCCCUUAUGGCCAGGGCUUC